This 492-nucleotide ribosomal RNA is filed under the name uncultured bacterium. RNAcentral describes it as "partial 16S ribosomal RNA". It matches the Rfam family "Bacterial small subunit ribosomal RNA", at positions 29 to 507 of the family's 1533-position model. The record is from RNAcentral.
AGUGAACGCUGGCGGUAGGCCUAACACAUGCAAGUCGAACGGCAGCACAGUAAGAGCUUGCUCUUACGGGUGGCGAGUGGCGGACGGGUGAGGAAUACAUCGGAAUCUACUUUUUCGUGGGGGAUCACGUAGGGAAACUUACGCUAAUACCGCAUACGCCCUACGGGUGAAAGCAGGGGAUCUUCGGACCUUGCGCGGAUGAAUGAGCCGAUGUCGGAUUAGCUAGUUGGCGGGGUAAAGGCCCACCAAGGCGACGAUCCGCAGCUGGUCUGAGAGGAUGAUCAGCCACACUGGAACUGAGACACGGACCAGACUGCUACGGGAGGCAGAAGUGGGGAAUAUUGGACAAUGGGGGCAAGCCUGACCCAGCCAUGCCGCGUGGGUGAAGAAGGCCUUCGGGUUGUAAAGCCCUUUUGUUGGGAAAGAAAAGCAGCAGGUUAAUACCCCGAUGUUCUGACGGUACCCAAAGAAGAAGCACCGGCUAACUUCGUG